AAAUCAAGUGAUGAGAAUAAUAUAACUGCAACAAUAUGAUUGGAUUUAUUUCCAUGAUUCUUAUUAAUUUAAUUCUAUGAUGAUU
This is a small nucleolar RNA of Trifolium pratense (red clover), 85 nucleotides long. RefSeq annotates it as small nucleolar RNA Z199. NCBI's taxonomy places the organism in Eukaryota, Viridiplantae, Streptophyta, Magnoliopsida, Fabales, Fabaceae. The record is from RefSeq and is a predicted model, not a curated record. The transcript has a single exon.